Pipra filicauda (Wire-tailed manakin) is the source of this 2528-nucleotide long non-coding RNA. RefSeq lists it as uncharacterized. Lineage: Eukaryota; Metazoa; Chordata; Aves; Passeriformes; Pipridae. The record is from RefSeq and is a predicted model, not a curated record. The transcript is spliced from 2 exons.
CACCGGGACGGCCCGGGCGGCGUCACUACGGGCCGCGGCGAGGGACAAGCGCGGGCGGGGCCGAGCGGGUGUCGAUCCGGCCGCGGCCGGGAGAGGGCGCGGUGUCCCCGCGGGUGCGGCGGGCCUUCGAUGUGGGCCGUGGAACGUCGUGAUCCACCCGAGCCCCCGGCUGUGGAUGAGGAAACACAUUGUGAUGGCUGAGCUGAGAAGACAUUUUAAACAGUCCACUAAGGCAGAUUUUGCUUCAAAAGUGUGAAACUGCCUUCUCCAGCCUUGAAAUUUAGAAGAAAACAGAGUUCUUUCCCCAGGAGAUAUUUCUUAUAAAUCUUACAGCUUAGUUCACAACAAAACGGGAAGCACAUGGUAGCAGCUGCCACAAUGUUAAUAUCCACAAAAAAAGAUACUAAAACCUCUGAAUAUCCUGGGAAAAUAUGCCUAUUUAAUCCUGGUAGUUCAAGUCACCUCCCUUCAGCACUUCUACUUAACCACUGAGAGGGGUCUUCCUGGAAAGCCCAAAACACUCAGGAUGCAUUGUGCCACGAGUAGAAGUGUUAAAGAGUGCAGCUCUGGCCUGCUUUGUGUGCCUGCCUGGGAAGAAGUCCUGCUCCUGUCAGGUGUCUUGGGAGGUUUUUUAAAAUAUGCUGUCAUGAAGAAUUAGUCACAAUUUCACCUUGCACAUAUUGCAAACUCUCCUUUCAGUGUGUGGCUUGGUGCCAUAGAGGAAGAUGUGUGGACACUGUAGAGGACAGCAGUGUAGCCUGGAGUAUGUAAAGGAGCCAAACUAGAGCUAAUGUUUUGCAACAUGCAUGGAAGGAUCUCUACUGAGACCAUGAUAUACUGAGUAUUGCUGACAGCAAAUGAUUUCGAAGUGCUGCUGGUGCUGCUGGUUCUCCACCUGUAGCUGAGCUGCCUUGUGUUUUGACUGUUCCAACAAUAUAAACAGGCAUUCAUUCUGUGUAUGAAAUGCCAGUAGCUCUUCUUCCAAAAGUUUGUUUUUCCAUAGCAUUUUUCCAUCUGUGUUUUCAAAAUAAAUGAAGGCAUCCAACCUUGUUUUAAAGUUACUUGCAGAGAGACUAACCAGAAAAGCUUCUCUGCAAUGAAAGAAUGGAAAUACAGAUCAAAGAAAGAGUGUGGUGGGGUGGUGGUUUGUAUGUCUAGGAAAGAAAUCUAAGCUUCUUGAGUUUUAACUGCCAAGAAAGAAGAGACACUGUGACCUUUCUGUUAGGACUUCUUGCUCUCAACUGAUCUCUGUUCAUAGAGUUCACAGAGCUGAAGCAGAGGAAGAAGAGUGGCAAAUGUUCUUCAUGCCUUAUAUUUAAAGUAACAGGGUUUUUUUCCCUAGACCUGAUGCUUCCUUCCAUCUCUUGCAUCAGCUAGUCAAUAUAAAAACAUAUUAUUUUUGUGUGUGUUGUAAGAAUUGUUUUUCUUAUGGGUAGCACUGUAAGAACACUCAAAAAGUUUCCAGGAAAUCCCUCCCUCCAGAAAAACAUAACUUAUGCAUACAAUGAGUUCUACCGGUCUGUGAUAUUCCUGGGGAAAUGCAGUAGAAAUUUCCAGUGUCUGCUUUUGACAUUCCCAUCUGAGUAGGGAACUUUAUUAGUUAUUAAUGUAACUGGCAGGGUUGUGUAGAAAGGUAUGAGGUUUUGAUCAUUUACUUUGGUUUGGUUCCAUUUGUUCACAAGGGUUACUGUUGUGCACUGUGGAUUUAAUCUGACUUUUCUAUUGGUUUUAUUCUUUUAUGAAUUAGCUGUUUUUUUGUUGCAGUAUCAGCUGUUCUGUAACUUUUAAGGACAUUGGAAUGAAAUUAAAUAAAAAUAGGUGUUCUCUUCUUUAAUAACAUUCACUUUUUGGAAUUUACUGUCUUACAGAAUUGCAUCUGUAUUUCUUACAGGGUACAGGUCCUAGAACAUCCUUUCUCUCAAAUAUAUACAAUUUUUCUUCCCUUCAACCUCCCUUUAGAUUCAGACAUACCCAUAUUUAUUUUCAAUUAUACCUGUAAUUGAUAGUUCUCUUCAUGAUUGAGAUUUCUUGUCACUUUUUUCUUAUGAAAGCCUGAUUUUAGAGGCUUUUGUUUAAGUGGGAUGAUUAUGGCGCAAGCUGACCUCGGUGGUGUAAGGUGAAUGUAAAAGCUGAACUUUGCACUUAUGAGCUCACAAGACAAAUCUGUGACAGCAUGUCUGGUUUUGUAGCCUUUAUAAAUAUUAGGAAAUUAUAUGUGGCAGCAAUAGUAAAAGGGUGUUGUCAAGAUUGUCCCCCAGCUCAUUUGCUUAAAUGCAUGCUAUGAAACAGCUGUGGCAGAACUACAGGAGGCAAAUGCUGUGGGUUUUGAACCAAUUUCUGAUUUGAGGUGAUCUGGUAAAUGGCUUUCAGUUCUUGGGGUUAGUAGUGCUGGUGAGCUGCAAGAGCUAUAGAAAUGCAGUUCUGUAACCUGGCUUGCCUUCACUUUGCACAUGCACAUUUUUGGCUUGGUCGCAGAGUACAGAUAAUGUCAAAUUAGGAACUUUAAACAAUAAAUAUGUUUAAUGAUC